RNAcentral lists this transfer RNA (76 nucleotides) under Mycobacterium sp. shizuoka-1. Its description in RNAcentral is "tRNA-Arg". The record is from RNAcentral. Lineage: Bacteria; Bacillati; Actinomycetota; Actinomycetes; Mycobacteriales; Mycobacteriaceae.
GUAGUGCGAGGUCAUCGGACCGAGCGCGCCCGUCUUCGGCACGGGCCCCUCGGUGAUCGUCACACCGGCUCGGCGC